RNAcentral lists this ribosomal RNA (446 nucleotides) under uncultured bacterium. RNAcentral's name for it is "partial 16S ribosomal RNA". It matches the Rfam family "Bacterial small subunit ribosomal RNA", at positions 338 to 795 of the family's 1533-position model. The record is from RNAcentral.
CCUACGGGCGGCAGCAGUCGAGAAUCAUUCACAAUGGGGGAAACCCUGAUGGUGCGACGCCGCGUGGGGGAAUGAAGGUCUUCGGAUUGUAAACCCCUGUCAUGUGGGAGCAAAUUAAAAAGAUAGUACCACAAGAGGAAGAGCCGGCUAACUCUGUGCCAGCAGCCGCGGUAAUACAGAGGUCUCAAGCGUUGUUCGGAAUCACUGGGCGUAAAGCGUGCGUAGGCUGUUUUGUAAGUCGUGUGUGAAAGGCGCGGGCCCAACCCGCGGACGGCACAUGAUACUGCGAGACUAGAGUAAGGGAGGGGGAGGCGGAAUUCGUGGUGUAGCAGUGAAAUGCGUAGAUAUCGGGAGGAACACUCGUGGCGAAGGCGGGUUGCUGGACAGUAACUGACGCUGAGGCACGAAGGCCAGGGGAGCGAAAGGGAUUAGAUACCCGAGUAGUC